UCCUUUCAUGUUGCCUUAUUGUCAUUUUAUCUUCUGGUUUCUCUAUAUCUUCAUCUCUUGUUCACUCCGUCUCUCACUUUUCUCUAAACCAAUCUUUUUAGUUUUCUAUUCUUUUUCUUCUUCAAUGGCUAAAACCCUAAAUAUUCCUCUUCAGCCCCUAGAAAGAGCUCUCGUUUCAAGGUAAAGCCUCUUCUAUUGUUCCUAUUGACUCUGAAUAUUUUGAGUAAAAUUUUCUUUCAGCCUCUAUUGGUUCUUAUGGUUCUAUACCAGGUACACGAUCUGAUGUUGUCGCUGUUUCUGAUUUCCCUAAGAAGAAGAUGAAAUUUUAUUUUGAUAGUUCUUUCAAUGACAUAUGAUUUUGGUGACCUUCUAAUGAAUCCUUGUUCUAUUCUCUAAAAUAACUUCCACUUGAAUGUGGAAGACUUGUUGAUUCAGAUUUACUUGAAUCAAUGCAUUGCCUGACUAAGCCUUUAUUUGAAGCGCAAGGAUGGACAAAUACCUUUACUUUACUCCUAAGGGUUGCUUAUGCACCCCUUAUUCGAUUGUUCUAUGAUAAUCUUUGGUUUUUCUGUGUUGGAAACUCUUAUCAUGAGUACACAUAUUUUCUUAAUUUAUGCUAUGUUUUACUCCUCUAAGUGUCCUUGGCCUUCAGAUUUUGAUGUCCUUUUUAAUCAGAAAAAUGAUUCAUUAUUGUGGAAUCUUAUGAUAACUUGCCUGUGCUCUUGGGCCUAAAAAUCUAUCAUUUGAGACCCCCAGUUGUUGCUCAUAUUAUGGCUACCACCCUCCUCCUUCGUGGAAGUUCUUUCUCUACUCUCUUUUAACGUUAAACUUUGUUAACCUGCUAUCUCUUAUCACGGCGGAAGAUCAAACUUUCCUUCUUUGAUAUUAACUACUCCCUCCGUUUGAAAAAUGAAUGACCUACUUUUCUUUUUAGUUCAUUUAAAAAGAAAUGAUUGCUUUCUCUUUUUUGACAGUACUUUAAUUUCAACUUUCCAUAUAGCAUGUUUAGGACCACAAGAUUAAAUGACAUUUUGGUACAUUUAACACAACUAUAAUUUAAGGCCACAUUCUUUAUUUUCUUAAAUUUUGUGUCAAGUCAAAAUAGGUUAUUCUUGAGGUAGUGUAUGAUUGAAGCUUUUUUGAAUUCUUCUCAUCUCCUAUAUGGUUUAGUUAUCACUCGUAUACUUGAAGCCUACCAUAUCCCUCUGGAAGAUGUUUACUCCGUUCUUGUCAAGCAGUGGUACAACUCUACAACUUUUAAAAGCAUAAUAUGUUUUGACUGAUAGGGUUUGUGCUCUCAAGACUGAAAGUUGUGGUCCUAGCACUCUCUCUUCUCCUAAGUCAAGAAACUUCUCUUCUCUUAAUCUUAAUUCAUUUUCUGUUCCCUGAGAUGUUUCUGAUCGUUUGAAUAACAUUGAUGCAAGACUAAAUGGUCUCACAGAUCUUGUUCUUGGCACUCAUUUUCAGAUGGAGAAAAUUUGGGAGUCUCAAAGAAAACUAGUGCUGACGUUGGUUUCAUGCAUAUCAAAUUGAAUCAAGUAAUUCAUGAGGCCAUUAAACUUGCUACUAAGAUUCGCCCUAGUACUGAUGCUAUCUCCACUGUGAUUACUACUCAGUUCACAAACCUGAAGGAUGCCACAAUAAAAAACUAGGCUUAUUUUCUUUGUCUCGGAGAAUGCUAAAUCCCCUCUACAUGUUUCUUAUUCCCGACCCUUGUGUUGCUCGUUUAAGAUAACUUUUUUGGUUUUGGUCCUGUAAUUAAGCAUAAGCUCACUGUUGCUACGUUACUUGCAUGUUUUGCUAGUUGUUCUCUAUUUAUUUUGCAUACUCUGUUAUUCUUCCUUUCUGAUAGAUGUCAAAGGAGAAAAAAUAGAAAACUUAUUUACAGGUAUAAACACAAGUCGAAUAGUUCGGCUAUCUAGGGGGGACUACUCAGGGGGGAGUUAAAAUGGGGGAAGUGGCUACACCUUAAGUUAUAAUCCUCAAAAAGGGGAGAUUGUUUAUGUUUGAUUUUGAUGUUUGACAACCUUGCAGGAACUCUCUAGCAUCAAUCAAGGAUCCAUUUUGGAAAUCAAAUAUUCCAUGUAUCAAAAAGGAAGAAUUGCAAUAUUCUUCCUUGAAGAAAAAGAUUCAGUCAAUCAGUAAAAGAGUAAAAGAAGGCUGGGUGUGAAAAAGGAAAAAGAUUUCAAGAUCCUUUCUUUUAGGAAGCAAAUCGCGGAUCAAUGGACCAUUAUUAUGAUCCAAUCUUAUUCUUGAAAAGAGGAUAUUUCACAUCCAAUUUCCAAUGAUCAAAUCUCUUGGGUUGUUUUGGUUAAAAAUUCUUCAAAUGGCUAUUACUAAGUUCGCCUAUUUAAAGGCUUGAAAGAUUAUGGAAGAGAUAUACUAUUGUCUCAAUCUUCUCUAGCUCUUUACUCUAGAAAAACAUAGUUAGUGAGUCAAUUGUGUCAAAGUGAGCAAAAUAAAAUGAGUGUGAAUAUAAGCCAAAAAACUUUGCUUAUAUCUUCUAUUUAUUUUAUUCACCAAAUGAAGAGCUAGUAUAAUCCCAUGCAAUCCAAAGAGACUGAGUAAGACCUAUAUAGGCUCCCAAUAUCUGAUGUCAUAUUUAUUUUAAGUAAUUUUCUUUACAAUAUUUAAAUAGUCUUUAUAACGUUGUUUUGUAAAUCGACUGGUAUAGCAAGCCAACUGACAAAUCGAAAAAUGGUAAUUCACC
Molecule: long non-coding RNA, 2710 nt
Filed under: Capsicum annuum
Lineage: Eukaryota; Viridiplantae; Streptophyta; Magnoliopsida; Solanales; Solanaceae
Description: long non-coding RNA (CANN_LNC002049)
Source: RNAcentral